This 318-nucleotide long non-coding RNA is filed under the name Serinus canaria (Common canary). RNAcentral's name for it is "lncRNA (ENSSCAG00000008284.1)". The record is from RNAcentral. Lineage: Eukaryota; Metazoa; Chordata; Aves; Passeriformes; Fringillidae.
GGAAGGUGUUCCCUGAGCAGGACCAUUUUGGAGCGCGAUCCCGUCGCGAUUGCUCGCCCUCCACUUCUCGCUUUAGGCACACGUUCAGUGCACAGUUCAAGAGCAGUUUAUCUAAGCUUAAUGGUCUCUCCUCUCGCUCGUACAGAAAAGAAAAAGAAAAAAAUGUCAUUAGAAGAGGCGUAACACGUCAGUCCGUCCCCAGGAGCUGCAUCUCCCUUCACCUUUUCUCCUCCACUUCGCGGCUUCUUCAUGCUUUUUCUUCUCACCAUUUCUGGCCAAAACUACAAACAAGACUUCGCAGAGCCUGCGUGCUGCUGC